RNAcentral lists this long non-coding RNA (605 nucleotides) under Homo sapiens (human). RNAcentral's name for it is "HSALNT0406045". Lineage: Eukaryota; Metazoa; Chordata; Mammalia; Primates; Hominidae. The record is from RNAcentral.
GAAGAGCCUGUGGGGGCCGCUCAGCAAGAAGGAAAUUCAGUGGCGCAUCUGCCCACAUUCUGGAAGGACCCCUGGUCCCCUUCUGUCAGCCCUCCCACCUGCCUCCCUCCUCGUGCCGCUCCUCUGAUCCCUCACUCCACUCCGGCUCCUGCGGCGCUGACGGAGCGGGGUGGGGGGAGUUGCUGCGUCUGGGGGUGUAAGAACCUUAGAUGUCACGGAGCUUGGAAUUGUGCCAACGGGCAGGCUGAAGGGGCCUUAAAGUGCUGCCAAGCCCUCCUCAUGCCACACCAGCUUCCCUGCAGAGCCAGGAUGGGGACCCCGAUGUCUGCCCUGUGGGCUGGAGCAGGCGGCGACUCUGUCCUGGCUGUGAGAUCUCCUCCACCGCCCCUGACUCCUACCCUGUCAGGCCCACCCCCAGUCUCUUAUCACCGCUGGAGGGGAAUCUGAGCAAUCCCCUACGGGGUGACAACCUGCAACUACAUGGCAUCGUGCACGUGGAUCCACUGCAGCAUGGAGCGGGGUCUGCAUCAGGAAAGACACUCCUCCUCUUCCCCCGGCCGCAGGCUGGAGUGCAGUGGCGUGAUCUCGGCUCGCUACAACCUCCA